This 235-nucleotide ribosomal RNA is filed under the name Glaesserella parasuis. RNAcentral's name for it is "partial 16S ribosomal RNA". It matches the Rfam family "Bacterial small subunit ribosomal RNA", at positions 1 to 230 of the family's 1533-position model. Lineage: Bacteria; Pseudomonadati; Pseudomonadota; Gammaproteobacteria; Pasteurellales; Pasteurellaceae. The record is from RNAcentral.
AAAUUGAAGAGUUUGAUCAUGGCUCAGAUUGAACGCUGGCGGCAGGCUUAACACAUGCAAGUCGAACGGUAGCAGGAAGGAAGCUUGCUUUCUUUGCUGACGAGUGGCGGACGGGUGAGUAAUGCUUGGGGAUCUGGCUUAUGGAGGGGGAUAACGAUGGGAAACUGUCGCUAAUACCGCGUAAUGUCUAAGGACUAGAGGGUGGGACUUUCGGGCCACCUGCCAUAAGAUGAGC